UGUAAGCGUAUACCAAAGUUGUUGCAGUUAAAACGCUCGUAGUCGGAAUUUGGCAGUUCCGGAAGUGUGCACGUCGUGUGCGCACUUUGCGGGGACUGCUUUUGUGGUCUUGCGUAGGAUGAGGCACUUUCAUUAGUGAACGUCCUCACGCAACCACUCUUUACUGUGAGAAAAUCAGAGUGCUCAAAGCAGGCAUUUGCCGUGAAUGUAUUAGCAUGGAAUAAUAGAAUAGGACUCGGUUCUAUUUUGUUGGUUUGUUGGGACUGAGUAAUGAUUAAGAGGGACAGUUGGGGGCAUUUGUAUUCCGGCGCUAGAGGUGAAAUUCUUAGAUCGCCGGAAGACAAACUGCUGCGAAAGCGUCUGCCAAGGAUGUUUUCAUUGA
Molecule: ribosomal RNA, 382 nt
Filed under: uncultured eukaryote
Lineage: Eukaryota
Description: partial 18S ribosomal RNA
Rfam family: Eukaryotic small subunit ribosomal RNA
Source: RNAcentral